This 452-nucleotide ribosomal RNA is filed under the name uncultured bacterium. RNAcentral's name for it is "bacterial SSU rRNA". It matches the Rfam family "Bacterial small subunit ribosomal RNA", at positions 354 to 796 of the family's 1533-position model. The record is from RNAcentral.
GUGGGGAAUUUUGCGCAAUGGGCGAAAGCCUGACGCAGCGACGCCGCGUGAGGGAUGAAGGUCUUCGUGAUUGUAAACCUCUGUCAGGAAGGAUUAAAUGUACGGGUGUUAACACCACCUGUACUUGACUUAACUUCCAGAGGAAGCCCCGGCUAACUACGUGCCAGCAGCCGCGGUAAUACGUAGGGGGCAAGCGUUACUCGGAUUCACUGGGCGUAAAGAGAGUUAAGGCGGCUGAGCAAGUCAGAGGUGAAAUCCCUCAGCCUAACUGAGGAACUGCCUUUGAUACUGCUCGGCUUGAGGACAGGAGAGGAAAGUGGAAUUCCCGGUGUAGCGGUGGAAUGCGUAGAUAUCGGGAGGAACACCAGAGGCGAAGGCGGCUUUCUGGACUGGCCCUGACGCUGAUGCUCGAAAGUUAGGGGAGCAAACAGGAUUAGAAACCCUAGUAGUCC